GUCCACGCCCUAAACGAUGUCGACUAGCCGUUGGAGGAAUAAAUCCUUUAGUGGCGCAGCUAACGCGAUAAGUCGACCGCCUGGGGAGUACGGCCGCAAGGCUAAACUCAAAUGAAUUGACGGGGCCCGCACAAGCGGUGGAGCAUGUGGUUUAAUUCGACGCAACGCGAAGAACCUUACCAGGUCUUGACAUACAGAGAACUUUUCCAGAGAUGGAUUGGUGCCUUCGGGAACUCUGAUACCGGUGCUGCAUGGCUGUCGU
RNAcentral lists this ribosomal RNA (262 nucleotides) under uncultured bacterium. RNAcentral's name for it is "partial 16S ribosomal RNA". It matches the Rfam family "Bacterial small subunit ribosomal RNA", at positions 793 to 1055 of the family's 1533-position model. The record is from RNAcentral.